GACGAACGCUGGCGGCGUGCCUAAUACAUGCAAGUCGAACGCAGUUGCGAACGGGUGAGUAACGCGUAGGUAACUGCCUCAUAGCGGGGGAUAACUCUUGGAAACGAUAGCUAAUACCGCAUACUGUGAGAUGGACCUGCGUUGUAUUAGCUAGUUGGUGAGGUAAAGGCUCACCAAGGCGACGAUACAUAGUCGACCUGAGAGGGGGAUCGGCCAAACUGGGACUGGGACACGGGCCAGGCCCCUUCGGGGGGCAGCAGUAGGGGAACAUUGGCAAUUGACGGAAGUCUGACCGAGGCACGCCGCGUGAGUGAAGGAGGGUUUCGGGUCGUAAAGGUAUGUUGUGAGAGGAGCGUUAACUAACCAGAAAGGGACGGCUAACUACGUGCCAGCAGCCGCGGUAAUAC
This 407-nucleotide ribosomal RNA is filed under the name uncultured bacterium. Its description in RNAcentral is "partial 16S ribosomal RNA". It matches the Rfam family "Bacterial small subunit ribosomal RNA", at positions 28 to 526 of the family's 1533-position model. The record is from RNAcentral.